GAUGAACGCUGGCGGCGUGCCUAAUACAUGCAAGUCGAGCGAACGGACGAGAAGCUUGCUUCUCUGAUGUUAGCGGCGGACGGGUGAGUAACACGUGGAUAACCUACCUAUAAGACUGGGAUAACUUCGGGAAACCGUAGCUAAUACCGGAUAAUAUUUUGAACCGCAUGGUUCAAAAGUGAAAGACGGUCUUGCUGUCACUUAUAGAUGGAUCCGCGCUGCAUUAGCUAGUUGGUAAGGUAACGGCUUACCAAGGCAACGAUGCAUAGCCGACCUGAGAGGGUGAUCGGCCACACUGGAACUGAGACACGGUCCAGACUCCUAAGGGAGGCAGCAGUAGGGAAUCUUCCGCAAUGGGCGAAAGCCUGACGGAGCAACGCCGCGUGAGUGAUGAAGGUCUUCGGAUCGUAAAACUCUGUUAUUAGGGAAGAACAUAUGUGUAAGUAACUGUGCACAGCUUGACGGUACCUAAUCAGAAAGCCACGGCUAACUACGUG
RNAcentral lists this ribosomal RNA (497 nucleotides) under uncultured bacterium. RNAcentral describes it as "partial 16S ribosomal RNA". It matches the Rfam family "Bacterial small subunit ribosomal RNA", at positions 28 to 507 of the family's 1533-position model. The record is from RNAcentral.